This 396-nucleotide ribosomal RNA is filed under the name uncultured bacterium. Its description in RNAcentral is "partial 16S ribosomal RNA". It matches the Rfam family "Bacterial small subunit ribosomal RNA", at positions 523 to 918 of the family's 1533-position model. The record is from RNAcentral.
AUACGUAGGGGGCGAGCGUUGUCCGGAAUGAUUGGGCGUAAAGCGCAUGUAGGCGGUUUGGUAAGUCGGUCGUGAAAAUGCGGUGCUUAACGACGUAUGGGGAUCGAAACUGCUGAACUUGAGUGCCGGUGAGGAAAAGGGACCUCCCCGGGUAGCGGUGAAAUGCGUAGAUAUUGGGAAGAACACCGGUGGCGAAGGCGCCUUUCUGGACUGUGUCUGACGCUCAGAUGCGAAAGCCAGGGUAGCGAACGGGAUUAGAUACCCCGGUAGUCCUGGCCGUAAACGAUGGGUACUAGGUGUGGGAGGUAUCGACUCCUUCCGUGCCGGAGUUAACGCAAUAAGUACCCCGCCUGGGGAGUACGGCCGCAAGGCUUAAACUCAAAGGAAUUGACGGGG